AAGCAUCAAUAAUACUCCUUUUUCUCUAUUAUAUGAUGGCAUCAGGCUAAUUCUUUUUUCAAUGAACAACUACAAUGUGCAACACGAAACAUAGACCGGGACCUGAUGAUGGUGCUCCCGAGGCAAUGAGCUAGAACUGGGCUCACGUGCGAGCAUAGUUUGAGAAACUUAGCGAUCCUUCAAGUGCAUUGUGUCAAAAGAUUGUCGUGGUCCUGCUCUUCUACACUGCCCAAAAGAGACAAUAGACGACCAUGUUGUCAAUUCCAAACGGGAGCUCAUGUAGAGGAGCAGCAAAAGCAUGUCACAUAUGCUCUAAUGUGGUUGUACGAACAGCGUCUAUGCCAGCAAUGAUAUCUAUGUCAAGAAGACUGGCAACUCUGGGAACCCAAUCAGAAGGUGGUUUAGAUUCUCUUUAUCCGAUGUACGUUGCGCUGCACACAAGUGCGUCUGCAUUUUUUCUCUUGCACUCCUAGAGGGAUCAAGACACAUAGAAUUAGAAAUGAGAUGAUAGGCCUGAAAAUGUAAGAACUAAAGAAAUAUACCCCCUUUCCUGUAUCUCUUCUCGAGAUAAAACAAUGUUUUUGCAAUAUUAUUUCCUGUAAAAUCUCAUAUUGAAAUAAUCUUGUAGACUUUAGUAUUGCAAGGUGUAAGAUGUUGAUUGUGAGUUGCAAAUCUUACACCAAGAGGUGGUAUCUCUCAGAAAAGUAUCCUUGUUUUUUCUCCUUUUUAUUUUUUGUGUUCUGUCUAUCCAAUGCUUUCACUACCUGAUUUGUUGGAAUUACUACAUUCGUACCAAAAUAGACAAUACUUGGCCCAGCCUUCAUUAUUCAUAUUAAAGGUGGAAAUUUCCAAGUUUGAUACAACACGAAGUUGACGAUGGAGACACAAUGAAGUGGGAUGGCAUUAAAUCAGAGAGAAAGAAGAACAUGAGGCGUGAUAUGGCGAAAGGUCGGGAGAGAGAAACAAGCUUUGAUGUACCGAUUUGGUAGAACAUUGCAUGCACAUUUACUGUCCCCACAGUUUUACGGAGUAUAAAAGUCGAUUGAGUAGCCUAUAUGUUGGUUUUAUGACCUUCAAGGAAGAUGUGGAGGUUGCUAAAUAGGAGGGAGGAAGACACCAUAUUUAUGAAUAAAUUGUCAGAAAAAAAUGAUAUUAAUUUUUCCUGUGGCAACACACGGGCAAUCAACUAGUUGUGGUAGUGUUACCUUCUAUUUUUAUUUUUGUCUUCUACUCGCUGAUUUGAACUUGGUUCACAUUUAAUAAAACGGUUGUGCCAAAAAUGGGUGGUUGCAUAAAUGCCUUGCAAAGGCUCAUUUGAGAACAAACAUAAAUAGUUCCAAUUUAGAAGAAGAAACUAAAGAUGCAAUCGCAACAUCGUUGAUAGUACUAGUAGCAGUGAUCUACCAGAUAUGGUGUUCACCAAUCAAUGAGGCAUGACAUGUCGUGUUCAUAGUGACCUAUUGUAUUGGUAGUGUGGUACAAGAAGAGUAGCAAACAUAUCUGAAGAUGAAUCACCAACAUUUAUACUGCCAAAAAAUGACAACAAUAAAUGUAAUCUCGUGAAUGAACCUAGCACAGAUCAAACAAAUCAUAAUAGAGGUCGUGAGUCCAUUAUAGCCAGUUCAGUUCAAAGGCAGCAGUCCUAUUCAAAAGCUACAACAACAAAAAAGACCUGCAUAUUUCAGGAAAUAUAUCCCUCUCGUGAAUUGAGAAACAGUUACAGGCCACACUAAUACACAACUAGAUAAAUCAUGAUGGUAUGCAUCAACUGACAUUUUACCGAUCUCCAUUAGUGUAAUAUGACAUGAACUUUUCUCACCAGCCUAGUAUUAGUUUUGGUAACUCACCAUGUUGGACGGAGAUGCCAGAGACAUGGGUUCAGUGACAGUUCGCCUGAGUCAUGGUGGUCCUAUAGGCUAUGGUGGACAAGCUUAGUUGGUUAAUUUUUUCUAUCUCUUACUGUCUUACACCAAAAUAAAGCAAAGUAGACAAAGGAAGAACAAAAAUACCAUGUGUUUGAAUAAACGACUUAACAGGAGGGGGCUCGGUGCACAGGAAUGAGAGUGGGCGUUGUCAUCACACCACCACUCCAGACCUCCAUCAUGGUCAACAAUACAACCACCUUAACGCGGCCACACACGUCACUACAACUAUAUCUGUACUAUUAAAGGGGAUCUUGCCGUCUGUCGUGAUGGUUCGACCACAGCAGAUCCCGCGUCGUUACAGCUAUCCCUUCCAUCGAUUUUUAUUCGUCCCUCAAUAAACCACGCGGCCCUUUCACCGAUUUUUUCCCAACCCUCCAUAAACCGGUUCAAUACCCCACUCGUGACUCAUCGAUCGCAUGCAGUAAAAAGAAUCGUUAGAUCCCGCAGCACGAGAGAACGAGUCCACGUUUCCCACCCCUUGUCGCUAAAAAAAACUGCCACGUUUCCCACCCCCACCUCUCCCCACCCCUCGUUCCCGAUCUCGUCGCUCUCCUCCCAAAACUCAUCCCACCAGAGAGAGGAAGGAGCACAGCCGCCAAGGCGCCGAGGAGGAGUCCUCCUGCUCCCCCUACCCCCUCCCCGGCACCCCCUUCUCCUCCUCCCCUCGCCGCAUGGAUCCGCACGGAUCCGUCAGCGGAGGGGUCUCUAGCACGCCGGCGGCUCGACUUCGAGGGGGAUCUGCUUUGAGCGGGGGUCAAUGGCCGGGGAGUCGCGCCGGACGAUGCGUCACGGCGGGCGUUCGCUGCGGCGGGCGUGAGCGAGGCGAGGGACGGCGGCGCCGGUACUAGGGGAGGACGGGGGACGUCGGCACGUCACGACGGUCGUUCAUUGCGGAGGCGCACAUGGAGCGGGGCGCUACGGGAGGGGAUGACGGAGGUGGAGGGGGAUGCAUUGUAGGGGACGGUGCGGGCGGAACACACCUUCCCAGGGCGGGCUCCGGGGGCCACCUGCAUGUCGCUGGUGGCGCAGCGCAUGCCGGCGUCGGGGUGCGCGGCGUGGCCCAUCGUGCGCAACUUCGGCAACCCGCAGCGAUACACGCACUUCGUGCGCACCAGUGCGCUCGUGGCCGGCGACGAGGCCAGCAUCGGCAAGGCCUGGGAAGACACCGUUGUGUCUGGCCUCCCGACCUCCACCAGCUCCGAGCGCCUCGAGAUACUCGACGACGGCCGUCAUAUCCUCAGCUUCAGCAUCGUCGACGGUGAGCACUGCCUCUGCAACUACCGCUCCGUAUCCUCCGUCACCGAGAUCCUGCUGGGCCCCUACCGUGCUGUCGUCGAGUCCUAUGUCGUUCCUGAUGGCUAGCGACACUGGUGCUCAACAGGGGAAAAACUCAAGUGGCGGGUGCUCUCAACAAGAUGGCGUUGCGCUCAUAUUUUUACAUUUCGUCUUUAUACCUCAAAUACAAUUAUGUUCUCAUCCAGAUCAAUGUGGAAACAUAUUCAUCAUCUGGGAACUAGACCAUAAGUACUACUCCAAAACUGGGAGAUUCCUCCGUUUUCAUCUAUUUACUUCAAUUUUCAUCUUAUAUGUUACCAUUUGUGUUUGCAUCCAAGCUCUUUGGUCAAAUUUUCUAUUCAUUACUUAUGUAUCCACAUUCAAUAUCAGAUGUUGCAUUAAAGUAUGACUCUCCGAGAUGCCCCCUCCCAUUGCCUGUAACAAUGAGUUUAUUACUUCUACAAAAAAUGGCCAAGAGAAGUUCAGUUCAACCUAGGCAUACAAUUUCUGAAUAUGGUAAAGCUGGAGAUAGAAAAUAUCACUUCUAAUGCACCCAGUGGCCCUCUGCUAUGUUUCCUAUACAGCUGGUUACAUUCCACCCGAGGUUUAUUCAGCAAACAUGUUUCAUGUCUGGAUUUGUAAUGUGUGAAAUAAUUCUACAUGACAGUUUCAUGGAAGUUGAUUCAUCUGGGAGAGCUGCGGCUGGGAUCAGAGAAUUAUGAGCUGGUGUGUCCAAAGAAGGAUCUGGUGUAAGCUCCAAAGACAACAACAUGCAGGUAUGGUCUGACUAACACUUCUAGCUAUCAUAAAUGCCCAUGUGUCCUCUUAUAUAAGAGUUGGCUAAAAACUAACAAAUGUAUGAUUUGUGUGUUGGUGCUUAUCAGCUUAUACCAUUGCAUAGUUUGCAUCGUCAACGAUAUAGCCUACCUAGCAUAUGAGUUUCUCUGCUUGUUCAUGCAUUUUGCUGAAAUGCAGUAUUUGAUCCUAUGGAUAUAUGAGAAAACUGGUUCAUGUAUCUGGAGUUCUCAAAAUCCAUCAAAUCUUGGUAGCUGGACUGGCUUCACAUAGAGCAUACGAAAAUCACGUUCACUUCAAACUUUAGCAUAUUUACUCAAAAUGUAGGAUCAAAUUUAGGUUAGGACUUAGGGGGACAAGAAUAAUUAUCAUAUAUCCCGUACUAGCACCUCGAAGAAACUUUUUUUACUGGACCUUGCUGUUAAUAGGUUCAUCAUUUUUUUCACUAGCAGCCCGUUAUUUUUGUCCCGUUGCAACCCACGAGCAUUUGUGCUAUAUCUCUACUAUUAAAGGGGGAUGUGUCGUCGUGAUGGUUUGACCUCCUCCCGUUCCCAUGUAUGAUCCCUCUCCCACUCCCACCUCCUGCUUCUCCCCUCGAUGUCACGCAGAAAAAAUUGCUCCAUCUGUCUAUUUCGCAUGACAAACCCCCGAUCCCACCCAUCGCGGUUAAACAAAGAAUAACGAACCGCCACCACACAAACACGUCCCGCUCCACAAGUCCACCUCUCCCUAACCCCACGCUCCCGAUCUCAUCUCUCUCCUACUGAAAAGCAUUGAUGCCAGUGCUCGCCAUACCACGCCAACACCCAUCUCCAUGCUAUCUUGCACUCCAACGCAACCCCCGCUCCCUCUGUAUUGAGGACAAUGGGGGAUCCAUGGCUCGUGGAAAGAUCUGGAGCGCCGCAUGCCGUGUACCUCUUGUUCGUCCACCUGCAGCAAUCGCCCAAUCAUCUGUGUCACUGUGUGUUCUCUCAGGUGAGCUUCUCUCUCUCUCUCGAGUUGGUACCUCUUGUUCCCCUUCAUUCACCCGUUUUGUGAGCCUGCAGUUUGAUGUGGACGACACGCCGCGGACCACCACCGCCUUGUGAUUGAGCGCAUCAGUGCACGACUGGCCCAUGAAGGGUUGGUGGCAGUACUCUAAUAGAUGUAGAGUGUGGCUAUGAACUCCUCUCACAGCUUGGCAACGACACCGGACAAAGCGUGCAUCAGGUACGUCCUAUCUUGUCGCGGUUGUUGGUAAUACAACAUUUGCUCUUGGAUACAUUUCUCAACACUUGCCGUGUCGUCCCUAACGCGGGCACUGUCCAAGCUACUCCUCUCAUGCCCCAUAUCAUCCACGACGAUGGUGUUCGUCCACCUGCAGCAGUCGCCCAAUCAUCUGCGUCACUGUGUGUUCUCUCAAGUGAGCUUCUCUCUCUCUCGAGUUGGUACCUCUUCGUUCCCCUUCAUUCACCCGUUUUGUGAGCCUGCAGUUUGAUGUGUGCACUUGUGUAUUUUUUCUUUGCAUGAAGUUAGCACAUGGGAUGGAUCUGGCGUGAUGGAUUUAGCUCAGCCGAAGAUGAUUCUAGGUAAUCUAUUUGUAUAUGGCAAGGUAAAAUGUUCUUAUCCAUUACUGUUCCAAUGGCAGGGAAGGAUGACCUUAGUCUAAUUAUGGCAAAUAGGUGGACUAUUGAGUUGCUGAUGUCUGAGUGUGAGUAAUUUUUUGCCUAUGUGUUUGAUUUGCAAACUCGUUCGAUACAUUUAUCUCUCCACUGUUAUUCUGAAUAAUUGCAUGUUGUUAUAAAUUUCAAGUUUGCUUCUUCACUAUAAAUCUUCCAAUUUCUUUUUACAAGAAUCUUGCAUACACAGAAAAGUGAGGCUUUGACAAGGGAUUACGUGUGGACCAUCUCGAACUCAAUGAAUAUGUAUGCUCCUUCUGUUAUAUUCUUGAUUGUUUUUCUUGUUAGUUAGCAUAAAAGAUUUCUAUCGUCUUGUUGAAUUUGUUAAUAAUUAGAAAAUGAUUACAUUUUUCUGAUUAAAUUUUAGUGAUGCUUAGUUUGCCAUGCUGUGGAAGGUGGAGGCAGUCUCGAUGUGGAUGGGUGAAAGGUAAAGGUUGAGGGAACGAGGGCGUCGAAGGAUCCACCAAAGUUGCCAUUGUAGUUGACCACGCCACCGGCGGUGUGUCAGACCUUUGUUGCCUCUGCAGGGAAGGGCAGAAGGCCUGCACCGCCAUGGAUCCUGUCCCAUCAUCUUGAGCACUUGUCGGUAUUGCCAUAUUGCAGAUUAUCUCUGAGGGAAGUUACAUUAUUUUCCCGUUAAUUCAGAUAUAUUAAUAUGUCCAGAUGUAAUUCCAAAUAUCUUAUGUUAGGCAAAGCUUCUAAAAUCAGUGAAGCUCUAGAGCUACUAAGGACUGGUUAAAUCAGUAAAGUUUUACAAUAUCUGCAUGAGUGGUUAUAACAUAGCACAUGUUAUUUGGUACUUCACUAUGUGGUAUCCUUUUUUUUAAUCUUGAUUAUUGAGUCAACAUAUUGAUUGUGGGCUUAUAUACUGCCAAACUGGCCUUCUUAUUCUGUCAUCCAAUUCAUGCAAAAUUCACGCUCACCAUGACAAAGGCCUAAUUUGUUAGCUGAUGUAGUUUUCUAAUUGUGUGCUCUUCAUUUGUAGUUGCCAAGUCUUAAAAUAUUUGUAGUGACGUAACUUUUUUUCUUCAUAUCAGCAGGAUUUUAGAUAGCAUUUUUUAAUGCUAACUGAAGUAAUAAACAAAUUAGCUUAGAAGUCAGUGUAAAGUGCUUAAGAGGAUUUUUUUUUCUCUGCACUAACAAAAUUUGAUGGCAAUUCUUGUGAACUGAUCAAAGGUCAGGUUUCAAAAGGUAUGCAUUUUUUUCAUCAUUCUCAGUAUCAUAAAUCAAUUUUGCACAUACAUAUGAUGAAUAUGAUUGCUCAUUUUCCUUUCAUGGUAAAGAAAUCUAUGUGGCGUUACAUGUCAGAUGAUACAUAUAGGAAUUCAUCCUACAACUGAACCUUUUAUUAUAUGACACAUUAGGAAAAUAUGCUUUCUACUUUUUUAUAUUUGCUUCCAAGAGGUUUAGUCAAUUGUUAAUCCGUUCCCUGCAUUAAUUUGUAAGGCUCUAAAGCCACGUUUUUCAAGCUGAAACAAUAAAGGCUAACAUGUCAGAUGAUACAUAUAGGAAUUCAUCCUACAACUGAAAUUUACUGGAUUAUUAUCUCGAUCUUCAGUUCUUCUGAUAUAUUUUUCACGAUCCAAGUGUUAGGAACAAAGAGUCUAAGAAGAAGCAUCAUAUUCCAAUGUUGAUAUUUUAUUCAAGCAUCAAUAAUACUCCUUCUUCUCUAUUAUAUGAUGGCAUCAGGCUAAUUCUUUUUUCAAUGAACAACUACAAUGUGCAACACGAAACAUAGACCGGGACCUGAUGAUGGUGCUCCGGAGGCAAUGAGCUAGCACUGGGUUCACGUGCGAUCAUAGUUUGAGAAACUUAGCGAUCCUUCAAGUGCAUUGUGUCAAAAGAUUGUCGUGGUCCUGCUCUUCUACACUGCCCACAAGAGACAAUAGAUGACC
RNAcentral lists this long non-coding RNA (7548 nucleotides) under Hordeum vulgare. Its description in RNAcentral is "long non-coding RNA (HVUL_LNC006859)". The record is from RNAcentral. Lineage: Eukaryota; Viridiplantae; Streptophyta; Magnoliopsida; Poales; Poaceae.